This 253-nucleotide ribosomal RNA is filed under the name uncultured bacterium. RNAcentral's name for it is "partial 16S ribosomal RNA". It matches the Rfam family "Bacterial small subunit ribosomal RNA", at positions 524 to 776 of the family's 1533-position model. The record is from RNAcentral.
UACGUAGGGGGCUAGCGUUGUCCGGAAUCAUUGGGCGUAAAGAGCGCGUAGGCGGCCAGAUAAGUCCGGUGUGAAAGUCACAGGCUCAACCUGUGAAUGCCGCUGGAAACUGUCUGGCUAGAGUCCGGGAGGGGCGAGUGGAAUUCCUGGUGUAGCGGUGAAAUGCGCAGAUAUCAGGAAGAACACCUAUGGCGAAAGCAGCUCUCUGGGACGGUACUGACGCUGAGACGCGAAAGCGUGGGGAGCGAACAGG